RNAcentral lists this ribosomal RNA (493 nucleotides) under Phalotris matogrossensis (Mato Grosso burrowing snake). Its description in RNAcentral is "partial large subunit ribosomal RNA". It matches the Rfam family "Bacterial large subunit ribosomal RNA", at positions 1854 to 2606 of the family's 2925-position model. The record is from RNAcentral. Lineage: Eukaryota; Metazoa; Chordata; Lepidosauria; Squamata; Dipsadidae.
AACGCGUGCCCAGUGACANUAAACGGCCGCGGUAUCCUAACCGUGCAAAGGUAGCGUAAUCACUUGUCUAUUAAUUGUAGACCCGUAUGAAAGGCAAAAUGAGGGUUUAACUGUCUCUUAUGGUAAAUCAAUUAAACUGAUCUCCCAGUAAAAAAGCUAGAAUAUUCACAUAAGACCAGAAGANCCUGUGANGCUUAAACUAAACUAUUAAACCACAUAAUAACUACUUUAGGUUGGGGCGACCUUGGAAAAAAAAAGAACUUCCAAACACAUGUGGCUAUACACCACACCCACACAUAGGCCUACAAGCCUAAAACUUGACCCAGCAUAGCUGAUAAUUGAACCAAGUUACUCCAGGGAUAACAGCGCCAUCUUCUUCAAGAGCCCAUAUCAAAAAGAAGGUUUACGACCUCGAUGUUGGAUCAGGACAUCCUAAUGGUGCAGCCGCUAUUAAGGGUUCGUUUGUUCAACGAUUAACAGUCCCACGUGAUCU